UUAUUUGGGAAAUAUUUUAGAGCAUGAGUAAAGAAUUUAAGAUAUAUGAAAAACAUAAAUCUAUGACAUUACUGGGGAUACAGUAGCUUCGUUCCACCUGUAGAUUACCUCUAUGCUGCUCUGGCCUCUAGAUUUGCCGACAAAAUUACGAACCCUAAAUUCCCAAAAUACACAAGAAUGGCGUCAUCGAUCACAGCGGCUGCCAUCUGCUGCUGCGUGCCCACAUCAAUUUUCGUGGUUUUGCUUCUGGUCUAACCGUCGGAAUCUCUAUUGUCGUGAGGACGGCUCUGGCGAUCGCUUUGGGAUUUGCAUGCUGUCGUCAUGCAUCUUCAUUUGGAGCUCUCAGUGUUUCAGUACCUAAACCAGUGGGCAACGCAUCAGCAGAUGAUGUGAUGAAGGAAGAUCUUGUCGCAAGAAAUUAAGACGACAAAAUGAGAAGGUCGGAAGAUAUGUUGCUCAGAGACCUCUGAAGUUGGUGGACUGAAAACAGUUUAUGACAGAUUUUUGGUUGCAUAUUCCGGUAGACAAACCAUUCAUACUCUAAAACACGACCCAGAUUUCUGAAGUACUCGGGAAGUUUCGUGAUGGUGGUGGUUUAACUUGUAAAACGCUGAAAUUAUGAGCUGUCGGAAACCAAGCGCACUGACAUACAGAAAAUUGUAAUGUCAAUGUUAUGUAAUCUUGGGCACCGUUGAGAUUGUGGGUGUUUACGACAUAGAAGGUGCGGAUGUUGUUUCUGGCUUUUCGUCUUGGUGUAAAUAUAGGGGAUUUCAUAUA
Sesamum indicum (sesame) is the source of this 777-nucleotide long non-coding RNA. RefSeq lists it as uncharacterized. NCBI's taxonomy places the organism in Eukaryota, Viridiplantae, Streptophyta, Magnoliopsida, Lamiales, Pedaliaceae. The record is from RefSeq and is a predicted model, not a curated record.